This is a long non-coding RNA of Musca domestica (house fly), 1838 nucleotides long. RefSeq lists it as uncharacterized. The record is from RefSeq and is a predicted model, not a curated record. Lineage: Eukaryota; Metazoa; Arthropoda; Insecta; Diptera; Muscidae. The transcript has 3 exons.
UUUGUUAUAUGUCGUGGGGAGUAUUCAUAUUUAGAACUGUUAUCAGACAUGACCUUGACCCGUCUUUAUCUAAUCGAUUAUUUUUGAGCUUCUUAGGGAAAAGUCGAAUCGAGGAUCCUGCUAGUCUGCGUCAAGCGUUGCAACAUCGCGUACCAAAUAUAAUAACAUAGUCAGCGCCGUUUUGACUGCGUUAGUAAUUGCUACAUUUGCAGCCGGGGUGUGCGGCGGAAGCUUUGCUUUAUUUGAAGAGACGACCGCCCAGACGGCUAUGUUUGAACAGUCAUUGAUGGCAUGUGUGCGUGCUCUCCCAGUGAACGAAAGCGUAUGUACUGCCCGGAGGGAUCGGUCUUCGAAAAUAGUCAGUGCCGCAAGAUAGUUUACCCCACGGCGAUUUGUACAAAGGUAUGUGCCUGCAGGUCAUAUGUCCACCCGGCAUGGUGUGGCGUGGUAAAAGGUGCCAAGAACCAGAAUAUCUUACCACAAUAGAAAAUGUGAUGACUAAUGAGGUGCGCAAACAACCUUCAUAUCUGGAAGUUAGGCUUCAACACAACGUCCCAUACAGAUUUCGAAACAUGUAAUAAAAUCCGAACAUUUAAUCCCUAAGGAUAUGGGUAGGGAUUCAAUACCGCCCAAAGGCUCCACAGAGUAUUCGGAACUCACAAUGCCAACAAAUGCACUUGUUAAUAACAAUCGUUCUGAAAAGACCAUUGAAUUGCAGAGCGGAUGAGAAAUAGGCAGUGUUGCGCCCACAUUCGGGAGUUGUUUCAAAGUGUACACACCUCGUAUAUACAAGGUAUAUGAAAAAAAUGGAUUUGAUUCAGUCGCAAGUCUAAUUUAUGCGACCCCAAAAUAUGCACUGCUCUGAUGAUGUACCUUAAGCCCACAGAGAUUAAAUACGUGCAUCCAACUUUAAUUAUGCCCCCAUUCCCCGGGCUCAACGACAACAGCUGAUAAUAAUAAUAUUUCCACGACUGUUCCGGGAAAACAAAAAAAAAAAAAAAAACAGAAAAUUGUUCUAGCUAUUGUUACAAUUAUAGGUGUCCACCGGGAUUUUAUGAUUUUAUAAUUUUAGAGGAAUGCUGUCGCCAUCGUUCUGGAAAAUUCGGUUGUACACCAAAGGAUGGGUGUUUAUGGGACUGGUGUUGAUUACUGGUCCGAAACUACAUUUAUUGUUGUUGAAACAACACUCGAUUUUCUGUUUCGAAAAUAUACACUUAGUCCGGCGUGAAUUGAAGAACCUGAAAAUGAAAUUAUGGCUUAACUCUAGUUUAAUUAAAACUCUUAAAUUUUUUUUUAAAUUUUUUUCCAGUGGUAGGUAUUUUUACCCUGAUCCCGGUAAAAUAUUUUUUGCGUGGGGGCCGAACCCGGGAACCCAGAUUGUUGACGCGAAAGUCCGUGUUCAAGACCCGGACUCACUUAUCCGAUAUAAACAAUAUAGGCUUCUAAAAAUACAUAUCCAACAUGUGGUCACAUGGUGGGGUAGUUUUUAUGCGCCGGUGUGGGAUACCGAAUAUCUGAUGGAACCGUUAUAUGUGCGCCAUAGGAAAACGUGGACCAAGAUAUUCAAUGUUCUGCCACCGGAGCUAUUCAAUGUGUUGAAUAAUGUAACAAAAAAUCGUCAAAAUGCCGAAUAUCGGGAUGUGCCCUUAUAUGGAGCUAGUGCUAGAACCCAAAAUUAAAUACAAAUACCAAUUUUUAGACAAAUUGGUGGAAAUAUGUGGCUAAAACUAUUAAAAUACCGAAUAUCGGGAGGUACCGUUAUAUGGAGGCUAUACCAACCACCCUAGACGGAAUGCAAAUUACUGUGCCAAAUUUUAAAGCUCUAUGUUAAAUAAUGU